This 378-nucleotide unclassified non-coding RNA is filed under the name uncultured bacterium. RNAcentral's name for it is "contains 16S-23S intergenic spacer region". The record is from RNAcentral.
UCCGGUUUGGCACCGGCAGUCCUUUUAGAGUCCCCGGCAUUACCCGCUGGCAACUAAAAGCAGGGGUUGCGCUCGUUGCGGCACUUAAGCCAACAUCUCACGACACGAGCUGACGACAGCCAUGCACCACCUGUGCACUGACCCUUGCGGGCUGCCGUAUUUCUACGACAUUCCAGUGCAUGUCAAGCCCUGGUAAGGUUCUUCGCGUUGCGUCGAAUUAAACCACAUGCUCCACCGCUUGUGCGGGCCCCCGUCAAUUCCUUUGAGUUUCAGUCUUGCGACCGUACUCCCCAGGCGGAGUGCUUAAUGUGUUGACGUCGGCACAGCAGGGGUCGAUACCCGCUACACCAAGCACUCAUCGUUUACGGCGUGGACUAC